UGCGUAGGUGGCGCCGUAAGUGGGGUGUGAAAUCUCGGGGCUUAACUCCGAAACUGCAUUCCAUACUGCGGUGCUUGAGGACUGGAGAGGAGACUGGAAUUCAUGGUGUAGCAGUGAAAUGCGUAGAGAUCAUGAGGAAGACCAGUGGCGAAGGCGGGUCUCUGGACAGUUCCUGACACUGAGGCACAAGGGCCAGGGGAAGGCAAACG
RNAcentral lists this ribosomal RNA (209 nucleotides) under uncultured bacterium. RNAcentral's name for it is "partial 16S ribosomal RNA". It matches the Rfam family "Bacterial small subunit ribosomal RNA", at positions 568 to 774 of the family's 1533-position model. The record is from RNAcentral.